CACAGCUAUGAGUCCCUUCGUGUGACGUCUGCGCAGAAACAUGUUCUCCAUGUUCAGCUCAACCGGCCCAACAAGAGGAAUGCCAUGAACAAGAGAGAUGGUAGAGUGCUUCAACAAGAUUUCGAGAGACGCUGACUGUCGGGCGGUGGUGAUCUCUGGUGCAGGAAAAAUGUUCACUGCAGGUACCAGACGCUCUUCACACACCCUGCCAGCCUUCCUAGCUCCUGGCAAUAGACAGUGGAGCAGUGCUUCUGAAUUAGGGUUUUAAGCAGCUUCUAACUUACACUUUUUUUGUUUGUUUGUUGUUUUUUGAGACGGGGUCUUGCUCUGUUGCCAGGCUGGAGUGCAGUGGCACAAUCUCA
Molecule: small RNA, 362 nt
Filed under: Pongo abelii (Sumatran orangutan)
Lineage: Eukaryota; Metazoa; Chordata; Mammalia; Primates; Hominidae
Description: retained intron
Source: RNAcentral